AAAUUGAAGAGUUUGAUCAUGGCUCAGAUUGAACGCUGGCGGCAGGCCUAACACAUGCAAGUCGAACGGUAACAGGAAGCAGCUUGCUGCUUUGCUGACGAGUGGCGGACGGGUGAGUAAUGUCUGGGAAACUGCCUGAUGGAGGGGGAUAACUACUGGAAACGGUGGCUAAUACCGCAUAACGUCGCAAGACCAAAGAGGGGGACCUUCGGGCCUCUUGCCAUCAGAUGUGCCCAGAUGGGAUUAGCUUGUUGGUGAGGUAACGGCUCACCAAGGCGACGAUCCCUAGCUGGUCUGAGAGGAUGACCAGCCACACUGGAACUGAGACACGGUCCAGACUCCUACGGGAGGCAGCAGUGGGGAAUAUUGCACAAUGGGCGCAAGCCUGAUGCAGCCAUGCCGCGUGUAUGAAGAAGGCCUUAGGGUUGUAAAGUACUUUCAGCGGGGAGGAAGGUGUUGUGGUUAAUAACC
RNAcentral lists this ribosomal RNA (471 nucleotides) under Salmonella enterica. Its description in RNAcentral is "bacterial SSU rRNA". It matches the Rfam family "Bacterial small subunit ribosomal RNA", at positions 1 to 468 of the family's 1533-position model. Lineage: Bacteria; Pseudomonadati; Pseudomonadota; Gammaproteobacteria; Enterobacterales; Enterobacteriaceae. The record is from RNAcentral. RNAcentral also lists the same sequence under 3 other names.